Molecule: long non-coding RNA, 1683 nt
Organism: Salvator merianae (Argentine black and white tegu)
Lineage: Eukaryota; Metazoa; Chordata; Lepidosauria; Squamata; Teiidae
Source: Ensembl
AAAAGUUACCCUAAAGGAGGAGAAACCAUUAGGAAAAGCAAGCCUGAACCCUAGCAACCUAGCAGAGGUCCAAGGCUGUGACCCUCUAGGUGGGUCACUGUACCUCCCACCACCCCUCACCAUCAGUCACGUUGGCUGGUGCUGAGCAUCAUGUAGCAGCACUACAGGAGAGUGAGAUCUUCUCUUCCUGUUCCUGGCAUGGCCCUGGUCUGCUCCGUUCCACUUCCUGUGAGUAGCCGGGGGGUCACUGAAAGGAUGACUGCCUUAUGACAACAGCCAAGAAAUUCCAGACAUUGCAAAAACAGCCUUGAUUAUAUCUCUGCCAUCAGUCCAUGGCAAUAUAAUGUGAAAGAAAGGAAGAAAGGAAAAGGGAGCAAAGCUGUGUGUUAUGAUGGGAUUUUUGCCAGAAGCAGAAGAUUCCUUUGGAAAGACCACAGCAACGGGCCAAGGCCAGAAGGUACCUCUAACAGUUGUAAGACAUGUUGAUGGACCUUGAGACAAAGAAAGCGGGGGGGAAUGUUUUCUACAUUAUUUGUGAUGAAGAAGGAUUAAAAUGUGGUGGUGUGGAUUCUAUCUCAUGCAAGCUCCUUCCCACUCUGGAUUAUUCACCUAGAAAUUUAAGAGAAUGGCGCAGUGCCGACUUUCAGAAGCCGCUUCAUGGAAAUCUUGCGUUGAGCUGCUAGAACAUCAGCAGAAGCUUGAAUUUGAAACAUGAAUGUUUGCUCUCCCACACAGAUUUUUGGUGCCAUCUAGUGCAUGCUGUAAAUCCAGACUGAGGCUGAAUCCACAUGCAGUAAAAAACAGCUGAAAAGCAGACUGGGAGUGCUAGCUUCCACACACUAGUGUUCCCAUUCCACCGCUAAUCCACAUUAAAGUCUGGAAGUGCAUUUAUUGUGGAUUGUGGACGGAAUAGGAACAAUAGCUGCCACAUGCUACCACCUCUAAGCCACUUCUGAGCUUUUUUUUUUAAUGUGUGUGGAUGCAGCCUGAGUGGUUGUCAAAUCUGAGACUGCAAGACACAAAGAUACAUAAGCUUUUCUCACUUUGUUGACAAACUAUAUUACUGUUGCUUUUACAAUAUUUAGCACGCAGCAGUUAAAUUGUUCUCUCUCCUUGUUUUCCCUGAGUGGAGGAUGAUAUAAUUUUGCUGCAGACCACAGUAUUAAUGUCUUUAAAUGCAGUGUGGGGGAAAACCUCAAAUAAUGUGUUUCUAAGAGGCAUAUACAGCCUCCUACUAAUCUUAUCUGCCCUGAAACCGUAGGGCUGCUUGCAGCAACAAAAGGUUGCCAUAGAGCAGCAGGAGUUGAAUGGAAAGCAAGCACACUGACGAAUGGUUUCCCCACUCCAUCCCUGGCUGUGUUCACACAUUUUGCAAAAAGUAUUAUGCAAACUCUGCCCACCAUUCAACUUCUAACAUGUGAACCCUGCACAAAAGAAUUGCCUGACAUUUACAAUUUGUUGGCUGCAGUUUCUGCAGCAUUUUAACAGAUCGGGUACUUUGGCCUGGACCCCUCAUAUCUCCUUUCUCAGUCACAUCAAACAUCAGUUUUCCAUAAGCUUAUUCAGAAGAAAGGAUGAUUGGGCACCUUUAUACAUAUUACCCCCUCUGAUAGCUUGGGAUGCAUUGAAUGUCUGUUUUAAUAAUCAGCUUCUUGCGUUUUAAAGCAGCCUUCCCCAACCCGU